Molecule: ribosomal RNA, 443 nt
Filed under: uncultured bacterium
Lineage: Bacteria
Description: partial 16S ribosomal RNA
Rfam family: Bacterial small subunit ribosomal RNA
Source: RNAcentral
CCUACGGGCGACUGCAGUGGGGGAUAUUGGACAAUGGGGGGAACCCUGAUCCAGCGACGCCGCGUGAGUGAAGAAGUAUUUCGGUAUGUAAAGCUCUGUCAGCAGGGAAGAAAGCAAUGACGGUACCUGACCAAGAAGCCCCGGCUAACUACGUGCCAGCAGCCGCGGUAAUACGUAGGGGGCAAGCGUUAUCCGGAAUUACUGGGUGUAAAGGGAGCGUAGACGGCUGUGCAAGUCUGGAGUGAAAGGCGGGGGCCCAACCCCCGGACUGCUCUGGAAACUGUAUGGCUGGAGUGCAGGGGAGGUAAGCGGAAUUCCUAGUGUAGCGGUGAAAUGCGUAGAUAUUAGGAGGAACACCAGUGGCGAAGGCGGCUUACUGGACUGUAACUGACGUUGAGGCUCGAAAGCGUGGGGAGCAAACAGGAUUAGAUACCCGGGUAGUC